GAAACGGGGGCCUUGGCCGGCAGCACAGAGAUCGCGAUGCUCUGGCUGGGGGGCUUGAUGAGCGACAGCGGCUUGGCGGUCCCCACGGGACAGCUUCGGACGGCCAGCUUCUGCGGGGAGACAGGCAGGAAGGCAACAAAAACAGUCGAGCUUCCAGAAACACAUUUUCAUCUUCCAGCAAAUAAAUAACCAUCCAGAACCUGUUGGGUCCCAGUUCCUCUCCACCAGCAGCUUCCUGGGAAGCUUUUGUUUCAGGGAAUCAAUGGAAUCCGCAGGCGGCCGAACAGCCGCCUGCUUCAGGACCCGCUGGCCCGCCGCUGGCCAUGCAGAGCCGGGGCCCCUCCUAUUGUCUGAAAGGUCACUCAUUUAAAGCCUCUGCAGGCUGGAGACCGACAGGCCCCUCCUGGAGGGACGGGGUCAGCAGUGUAUGAACCAGGAACACCAAAAAAGAGAUGGAAGACCGUCCCCAUCAUUUCCCACAGUAUUACAGAUAAACACACACGGACCAGCCAAAGGCCGUCGACGGACAGGUUCACUAUCAGCAUGACAACAAGCGAGUGUGGAACAGUAAAAGUAAACUGCCAAUCAAAAGAAAAGAAAAUGGCCAAACUAAUGAACUGACUGGACAUUCGGUUUGAUUUUGUAAAACAGCAUUUAAGAAUAAAACACUUUGGACUCGU
Long non-coding RNA from Poeciliopsis prolifica (blackstripe livebearer), 680 nucleotides. RefSeq lists it as uncharacterized. The transcript has 3 exons. The record is from RefSeq and is a predicted model, not a curated record. Lineage: Eukaryota; Metazoa; Chordata; Actinopteri; Cyprinodontiformes; Poeciliidae.